This 492-nucleotide ribosomal RNA is filed under the name uncultured bacterium. Its description in RNAcentral is "partial 16S ribosomal RNA". It matches the Rfam family "Bacterial small subunit ribosomal RNA", at positions 29 to 507 of the family's 1533-position model. The record is from RNAcentral.
AGUGAACGCUGGCGGUAGGCCUAACACAUGCAAGUCGAACGGCAGCACAGUAAGAGCUUGCUCUUACGGGUGGCGAGUGGCGGACGGGUGAGGAAUACAUCGGAAUCUACUUUUUCAUGGGGGAUAACGUAGGGAAACUUACGCUAAUACCGCAUACGACCUACGGGUGAAAGCAGGGGAUCUUCGGACCUUGCGCGAUUGAAUGAGCCGAUGUCGGAUUAGCUAGUUGGCGGGGUAAAGGCCCACCAAGGCGACGAUCCGUAGCUGGUCUGAGAGGAUGAUCAGCCACACUGGAACUGAGACACGGUCCAGACUCCUACGGGAGGCAGCAGUGGGGAAUAUUGGACAAUGGGCGCAAGCCUGAUCCAGCCAUACCGCGUGGGCGAAGAAGGCCUUCGGGUUGUAAAGCCCUUUUGUUGGGAAAGAAAAGCAGCAGGUUAAUACCCCGCUGUUCUGACGGUACCCAAAGAAUAAGCACCGGCUAACUUCGUG